This 440-nucleotide ribosomal RNA is filed under the name uncultured bacterium. RNAcentral describes it as "partial 16S ribosomal RNA". It matches the Rfam family "Bacterial small subunit ribosomal RNA", at positions 338 to 795 of the family's 1533-position model. The record is from RNAcentral.
CCUACGGGGGGCAGCAGUGGGGAAUAUUGCACAAUGGGGGAAACCCUGAUGCAGCAACGCCGCGUGGGUGAAGAAGUAUUUCGGUAUGUAAAGCCCUAUCAGCAGGGAAGAGACUGACGGUACCUGACUAAGAAGCCCCGGCUAACUACGUGCCAGCAGCCGCGGUAAUACGGAGGGGGCAAGCGUUAUCCGGAUUUACUGGGUGUAAAGGGAGCGUAGACGGUUGUGCAAGUCUGAAGUGAAAGCCCGGGGCCCAACCCCGGGACUGCUCUUGGAACUGCGUGGCUAGAGUGCAGGAGGGGCAGGCGGAAUUCGUGGUGUAGCGGUGAAAUGCGUAGAUAUCAGGAGGAACACCGGUGGCGAAGGCGGCCUGCUGGACCAGAACUGACGUUGAGGCUCGAAAGCGUGGGGAGCAAACAGGAUUAGAUACCCUUGUAGUC